This 468-nucleotide ribosomal RNA is filed under the name uncultured bacterium. RNAcentral's name for it is "partial 16S ribosomal RNA". It matches the Rfam family "Bacterial small subunit ribosomal RNA", at positions 28 to 507 of the family's 1533-position model. The record is from RNAcentral.
GACGAACGCUGGCGGCGUGCUUAACACAUGCAAGUCGAACGGAAAGGCCCUGCUUUUGUGGGGUGCUCGAGUGGCGAACAGGUGAGUAACACGUGAGUAACCUGCCCUUUACUUUGGGAUAACUUCAGGAAACUGGGGCUAAUACCGGAUAUGAGCUCCUGCUGCAUGGUGGGGGUUGGAAAGUUUCGGCGGUUGGGGAUGGACUCGCGGCUUAUCAGCUUGUUGGUGGGGUAGUGGCUUACCAAGGCUUUGACGGGUAGCCGGCCUGAGAGGGUGACCGGCCACAUUGGGACUGAGAUACGGCCCAGACUCCUACGGGAGGCAGCAGUGGGGAAUAUUGCACAAUGGGCGGAAGCCUGAUGCAGCAACGCCGCGUGCGGGAUGACGGCCUUCGGGUUGUAAACCGCUUUCGCCUGUGACGAAGCGUGAGUGACGGUAAUGGGUAAAGAAGCACCGGCUAACUACGUG